GUACAGAUGUGUGAAGGUGAAGAA
This 24-nucleotide non-coding RNA is filed under the name Arabidopsis thaliana (thale cress). The record is from RNAcentral. Lineage: Eukaryota; Viridiplantae; Streptophyta; Magnoliopsida; Brassicales; Brassicaceae.